RNAcentral lists this small nuclear RNA (107 nucleotides) under Rhinopithecus roxellana (golden snub-nosed monkey). The record is from RNAcentral. Lineage: Eukaryota; Metazoa; Chordata; Mammalia; Primates; Cercopithecidae.
GUGCUCACUUCAGCAGCACAUCUACUAAAACUGGAACGAUACAGAGAAGAUUAGCAUGGUCCCUGUGCAAGGAUGGCAUGCAAAUUCAUGAAGCAUUCCAUAUUUUU